AGUCUGAGACAGGACACAGCAUGGCCAUGAGGGCCCCUGCCAAGCUCCUGGUGCUCCUGCUCCUCUGGCUCCCAGGUGUGAGAUGUGACAUCCAGAUGACACAGCAUACCUCCUCCCUGUCUGCAUCUCUAGGAGACAGAGUCACCAUCACCUGCAGGGCCAGUCAGACCAUUGGCAUAGGUUUAGCCUGGUACCAACAGAAACCAGGGCAAGCUCCUAAGCUCCUCAUCUAUCAUGCAAACAAUUUGGAAUCUGGGGUUCCCUCCAGGUUCAGUGGCAGUGGAUCUGGCACAGAUUUCACUCUCACCAUCAGCAGCCUGGAGCCUGAAGAUUUUGCCACUUACUACUGUCAACAGUAUAAAGGUUACCCUCCCACAGUGAUAUAG
Marmota flaviventris (yellow-bellied marmot) is the source of this 386-nucleotide non-coding RNA. The record is from the annotation of a RefSeq genome assembly. NCBI's taxonomy places the organism in Eukaryota, Metazoa, Chordata, Mammalia, Rodentia, Sciuridae.